This 959-nucleotide small RNA is filed under the name Pongo abelii (Sumatran orangutan). RNAcentral's name for it is "retained intron". The record is from RNAcentral. Lineage: Eukaryota; Metazoa; Chordata; Mammalia; Primates; Hominidae.
CCUCUGUAUGGAAACUUGUUUCAGGGCCAAAUCCUUGUAGCUGUCUUCUUGCCCCGGUCAGUGCCAGCCGUACUAUUCACAACACUGCUGCUACCGAGGCCUAGGAUCAGUUCUUAAGAGCAGCCCCGGUAACUGGAGGAAUGGGAGCCGUUUUGAUGAGAAAAAUGGGCUGGAGAGAAGGAGAAGGAUUAGGAAAAAACAAAGAAGGCAAUAAGGAACCCAUCCUAGUUGAUUUUAAGACAGACCGAAAAGGUCUUGUUGCAGUAGGAGAAAGAGCACAAAAGAGGUCUGGGAACUUCUCUGCUGCAAUGAAAGAUCUGUCAGGCAAACAUCCUGUGUCUGCUUUGAUGGAAAUCUGUAAUAAGAGAAGGUGGCAACCACCUGAAUUUCUAUUGGUCCAUGAUAGUGGCCCUGAUCAUCGCAAACAUUUUCUCUUUAGGGUAUUGAGAAAUGGAAGCCCUUACCAGCCCAAUUGUAUGUUUUUCUUGAAUAGGUAUUGAUAAAUGGAAGCGCUUACCAGCCCAGCUUUGCCAGCCCUAAUAAGAAGCAUGCUAAAGCCACAGCAGCUACUGUGGUUCUUCAAGCAAUGGGCCUUGUACCAAAGGACCUCAUGGCUAAUGCCACUUGCUUCAGGAGUGCCUCACGUAGAUAGAUUGAGGUUUUAUAAUAAUCAUUUCAGAUAAUUUUACUCUGCAUCACAAUGUAUUUCCUCUUUAAUGUUGUAAAUAUUUGGCAAUUUAAGACAUUGUGUAAAAAGCAAUCUGUAAAAACAUCUCCAGGCUUUGAUUUUUGUACCAUGGAAAUUGUAUUUAACCAUACAGGGUUUUGGUAUGUUUAUAUUGUUUACCUUAGUGAUGUAUUUGUUUAAGUGGCUAACAUCCAAACGACUGUUUGAAGGCAUCAGAGUAAUCUUCAGUGUGGAAUGUUAAAUAACGCUUUUAUACUGUAUUUUGUACUAU